RNAcentral lists this ribosomal RNA (326 nucleotides) under uncultured eukaryote. Its description in RNAcentral is "partial 18S ribosomal RNA". It matches the Rfam family "Eukaryotic small subunit ribosomal RNA", at positions 1470 to 1796 of the family's 1831-position model. The record is from RNAcentral.
CCCUUAGAUGUUCUGGGCUGCACGCGCGCUACACUGAUGCACUCAACGAGUUUACGACCUUGCCCGAUAGGGUUGGGUAAUCUUUUUAAAAUGCAUCGUGAUGGGGAUAGAUUAUUGCAAUUAUUAAUCUUCAACGAGGAAUUCCUAGUAAGCGCGAGUCAUCAGCUCGUGCUGACUACGUCCCUGCCCUUUGUACACACCGCCCGUCGCUCCUACCGAUUGAGUGCUCAGGUGAAUAAUUCGGACUGCAGCAAUGUUUGGAUCCCGAACGUUGCAGCGGAAAGUUUAGUGAACCUUAUCACUUAGAGGAAGGAGAAGUCGUAACA